AACUCUCAUCUCUACAAUAUAAAAAGCUGAAAUGAUAUAUAAUUAGCACUCCUGGAGAAAAGCUUGUGCUAGCAUUAAUAAGGACAGAAGGAGAAUUUUCGGAAGCCUAAGAUGACACCCAAAUUGGUAAUACUGGUGACAGCUGUGGCCCUUGUCUGCCUGGUACAACUUGGGAAAUCAGAAAAGGCAGAAAAGGAGAAGAAAGGCCACGAUGGGGAUGUUGCUGGUGAAAAAGAUCCAAGAGGUGUGGGUGAAUUGCUUAAUGGAGUGCUAGCGCCAGUGGAAGAGACACUUGAGUCACUUCUGCCACUUAAAUAAAAUGUGACAUUUUAUUACAGAAAUACAUAUUCUAUAACAUCAUUGGAAAUGUUUUUUCUGUCAUGAUACAUUAACCUAUAAUACAUAUGAGCAUAACUAA
Molecule: long non-coding RNA, 418 nt
Organism: Pseudophryne corroboree (corroboree frog)
Lineage: Eukaryota; Metazoa; Chordata; Amphibia; Anura; Myobatrachidae
Exons: 3
Source: RefSeq, a predicted model, not a curated record